ACUGCUGACGACCGGCGCACGGGUGCGUAACGCGUAUACAAUCUGCCUUGUACUGAGGGAUAGCCUUUGGAAACGAAGAUUAACACCUCAUAGUAUUGCGACAUCGCAUGGUGAUGCAAUUAAAGGUUACGGUACAAGAUGAGUAUGCGUCCUAUUAGCUAGAUGGAGUGGUAACGGCACCCCAUGGCGACGAUAGGUAGGGGCCCUGAGAGGGGGAUCCCCCACACUGGUACUGAGACACGGACCAGACUCCUACGGGAGGCAGCAGUGAGGAAUAUUGGACAAUGGAGGCAACUCUGAUCCAGCCAUGCCGCGUGCAGGAAGACUGCCCUAUGGGUUGUAAACUGCUUUUAUACAGGAAGAAACAGAACUACGUGUAGUUCCUUGACGGUACUGUAAGAAUAAGGAUCGGCUAACUCCGUGCCAGCAGCCGCGGUAAUACGGAGGAUCCAAGCGUUAUCCGGAAUCAUUGGGUUUAAAGGGUCCGUAGGUGGAUAAUUAAGUCAGAGGUGAAAUCCUGCAGCUCAACUGUAGAAUUGCCUUUGAUACUGGUUAUCUUGAGUUAUUAUGAAGUAGUUAGAAUAUGUAGUGUAGCGGUGAAAUGCAUAGAUAUUACAUAGAAUACCAAUUGCGAAGGCAGAUUACUAAUAAUAUACUGACACUGAUGGACGAAAGCGUGGGGAGCGAACAGGAUUAGAUACCCUGGUAGUCCACGCCGUAAACGAUGGUCACUAGCU
This 737-nucleotide ribosomal RNA is filed under the name Pontimicrobium sp. RNAcentral's name for it is "bacterial SSU rRNA". It matches the Rfam family "Bacterial small subunit ribosomal RNA", at positions 84 to 821 of the family's 1533-position model. The record is from RNAcentral. Lineage: Bacteria; Pseudomonadati; Bacteroidota; Flavobacteriia; Flavobacteriales; Flavobacteriaceae.